CAAAGCGCCCCCUCUAACGCGAGCGAGGUUGUCCACGCUGCCGCCGUGGGGUUUGUACGCCGAGCACCAUGCAAACAACAGCAGCAGCAGCAGCGAGCGAGCCAGCAAGCCACGGCAGCCACCCACACGCGCCUCGCCGCGAAACUAUUGUUUGUCGAGCUGUCAGGACCCCCUAGCGUAGCCUCUUGAUUAAUGGGCAGCGUGGGCCGCGGGGGGGGGGAUGGUGGUGGUGGUGGCGGGGUGGUGAUGAACAAAGCGCCACCCCCGGGCCCUGCACAGAAUCGCGUGGAAACUCCGAACGCAGAAAUCGUGUGGGUGUAUGAAUGUCAUUGAGGCCCUUUAGCCUAAAACAAAACAAAAAGAGGGAAACGCACCGGCGAAUGUUAUUGUUGUGUUUGUCUGUCUGUCUGUCCGCCCGGUUGUGUUUUGCGUGGUCGGUGAAUUGCAUUGCUUUAUUUAUUAUUUCCCGUUUUCUUUUUCUGCUGAUGGCGGCGGGACGUGGCGCGGAAGGUGGGUGGCAGUGGUGGUGAUGGGAGACGUGAGUGGGAGUGCGGCAGAAUGCAGCGAUGGAUUUUUGUUUAGGGUUGCCAAGUCCCGAAGGUGGAAGUUGCUGGUGAGGGAAUGCACGGGGAAGAGGAGGAGGAGGGCUCACACUCACGGGUGCCUCUCUCGAGAUUGCCUGGAAUUCACUGUAAUGCUACUGAAGCUGUGGUUUAGGGGCUUGACGCGGUGGGUUGACCAUACUUCACCACACCGGUCCGGUGAAGAGGGAUGAAGGGGAGCACACUUUGCCUUGAGUACCUGGACUGGUAUGGGUACCUCUAUCCAGCGCCACUAUAGCUACUCAGCACUAAAAGCGGUCCGUGCGUCAUUCGGUGCGGACGCGAGAUGCCCGGCCGGCCGCUUAUGUAAGCGCGCGCGCGCUCGCUCGCUCGUCCGCUGCCGCUGCCUGCCAGUGCGGACGCGAGAUGGGAGCUCAAGAGGAGGAUGCGAUGGCCGCUCGUCCUCCGGGCUCCCGGGGCGCGCGGUUCCGUGACCCCCCCCCCCCUCACGCCCCAACCAUCACCCCCCCCCCCUCCCAGGCCUCGUGGGAUGCUGUGGCGGGCGGGCGGGGCUGUCUGAAUGCGUUGUCCGUCUAUGCGUUGUCAUCGAUUAAUCUGUCAUCGAUACCAUCAAUCGUUGGCUUUCGUUUUUUAUGAUGAUUGAGAAACUCCCGAAUCGUUUGAACCCCUUCCCGAAAAUGAAAAAAAACACGCAAAAAAGAGAGACACGGUCCAAUGGAUAAUGAUGUUGUUGUUUUAUAGGGAACACAGGGACACGGUGGUGGUGGUGGUGAUGGGUGGUGGUGGUUGUGAUUGUUUUUAAUGGUAGAUGAUUAUGGUAGCGAUGUAUCAUGGUUGUGAUUGACCAUGACGAUGAUGAUGAUAAUGAUGGUGAUUGCUGAUCAGAAUUUUCUGGUGAUGUUUUCUUGAUGUUUGUUGAUGAUGAUUACGGUGGUGAUUGGUGGUGAUUGCUGAUGGUGGUGUUUGUUGAUGGUGGUGGUGAUGAUAAUGAUGUAGGUAGCCUAUAAAGCCGAUACUAGGGAACGGGUUCUCUCAGCGGGCUCUAACAAGAUCAUAUACUGUAUAUAGUAUCAUCUGAUUGACAUUAACCCACUAUCAUUAUCACGACGCAAUGAUGAUUAUGAUCAUGAUGAUGGACGCUGUGGUGACCUAUCAUGACGCCGUAGCAUGAACAUUGCUUUGACAAUAUAAUUAAAAUCCUCAUCAUUAUGAUCAUCGCUCGACAGUGAAACAUUUUCACCAUCGCCACCAUCACCAUCGUAGCCGCUCACAGCGAUGUGAUGAACUUGUAAUCCACAGCUGUCUUCCCCACUCGCCCCUCCCUCACGCACCACUCACCCCUCCCUCCGGCCAAAUCGCUGUGGUUAAUGCCUGCACACAGUGACACGGGAACAUCCAGAAUUACCCCCGGCUUCGCAACCACCAGUGUCUCCCUCAUACCCCCCCCGCUUCACCCCCCUCCCUUUCCACUGCCCCCCCCCCCCGUUUCCCUCCCAACACCCCCCGCUGGUGCAAGGCAGCUAAUAAAGCUGCCAGAGCCCCGCAGAUGAAGAGGGAUGGCUCUGACAUUUAGCGGUUUCGGCACUUUCCCGAUGGCUACCUGCCAUUGGGUCAACUCUCUCCGCUAUCACCACCAUCCCCAACCCCUCCCCCCCUCCCUCCUCUUCCCUCCUCCAUGCAAAAGCGUAGACUCAUUCUUCUGGCGUUGAAUAGAGGUGAGGGUCCCAUAUUUUAUAGGGAGUACACUUGCCAAUACUAUCUGGAAAUCCAGCAGCAUUUUAUUUAACGAGCCUCACUGCUGAUGAGAUCCAGAAGGUGGGAGUUUUCUUGCUCAUUCAGAUGCUCCUGGAAACCCAAAAUUAGGCGGAUGGACCAACACAUUCUUCGUACGAUUUUACGUGGAGAGACGAGAAUGUGACUGAUGCGUAAUGUCUCCCUAAAUACGUUGCCACUUGUUUCACGGCCACCGAGGAGACGGAGCGACGAAAUCGGCUCGUGCGCAGACGUCAGGCGGAUUAUCACGGCGCAGGAUCGUGGUCGGUUGGCUGCAUCUUGGGGAGGCAUUCAUCCAGCGGUGGAUCGACCAUGGCUGACGACAAUGAUUAAAUUCUCCACUGCUACGCUAAUCGAUGAUUGCGCGCAAGAGGUGCAUCCCAAUGAGCGGCUGCCAGCGAGGGGAGGAGU
This is a long non-coding RNA of Petromyzon marinus (sea lamprey), 2747 nucleotides long. RefSeq lists it as uncharacterized. The record is from RefSeq and is a predicted model, not a curated record. Lineage: Eukaryota; Metazoa; Chordata; Hyperoartia; Petromyzontiformes; Petromyzontidae.